Apis mellifera (honey bee) is the source of this 2029-nucleotide long non-coding RNA. RefSeq lists it as uncharacterized. Lineage: Eukaryota; Metazoa; Arthropoda; Insecta; Hymenoptera; Apidae. The transcript has 3 exons. The record is from RefSeq and is a predicted model, not a curated record.
UUCAUAAAAAUUAUGGAUCGCAAUUUAAUUUUUGGAAAAUAGAAAAAAUUUUAUCAUAUAUUUUAAUUCAAUUCAUGUUUCUCUUAAACAAUAUGUGUUCAAACAUUGAACAGAAGAUACAGGAUGAUACUGCUAGGACAAUUUGGACAAUAGGAGAAAAAUUUGAACGAUCCUUCGCUUUAUAUUUAGAAACAAAUAUUUUGGUAUGGCUAGAGUGAUCCUGGGGCCUGAGACGAUAUUUCCAACUAUGCAAGUCUCAAUCAGUAUCAUUUUAUCUGAGAAAAAUUAUUUCAAAUACGUGCAGAAUGUAUUCCUGUUUCCUGGGAAAACAACGGAUUUUAUUAAUGGCGUAACUCUUCUGACUCAUUCUAAGAAUUUUCCUUAGAUUAGGAAUGUCACUCAAUCAGAUUGGCCCAUAAUAUUGAUUGCUUAUACCUCACUGAAGAUCUGCAAGUUCGCGACAUGAACAUUAAGGGGGCUUUAAAAAUACCAGUGACAGUGUUUUAGGAGAACCAAAUUCUCAGAACUUUCAAAACAUUCAGAAAACCGAGUUCUCAGAAUCUUUAGAACUCUCAAACCUUGAAUCUUUUGAACUUUUAGAAUUCUCUAAUCUACAAGAAUCUUUUGAACUUAGAACUCUACCGAAUUUGCAAUCUUUAGUGAUAACGUAAAUGUAUUAUAUAUCAUAAUUCUAGGAAGUUGGAGCUAACAAUACGUUAUGGAGUACUUUUAGAGAUUUACUUUAAUCAAGGACGUAAUUUAAUUAAGAAUUUUUCAGAAAUUAAUGAAAUCAGAAAGAUGAGAAUGAUUCCACUCCCAAUCAAAUGGACUAGCAAAACAUUUAAUUAGAAUUUUACUUCAAUAUUUAGUGAUAUUUGUUAAAAAAAAUCAACGUGACUAGGAUGAAUGGAUCUCAUUAUUUUUUUUAGCUUAUCGUGCCUUACGACAUGAGUCGACAUAAAUGUCGUUACUAUGAUUUUGUAUAGUUAAAAAUUAUAUCUGCCCAUACAAUAAUGAAGAGGAAUUCCUCUCAAUAUUGAAAAUGCCAUAUUGAAGAAAUAAAGAAAAGAGUGAAAAAGAUUAAUCAAUGAAAAGAUUGGAAAUUUUUCAGUUGUAAUGAAAAGAUAGAAAAUUUCUUCGUCAAAAAUAAAAAAAAGUGAUAUAACAGCUAUGUGUACACUAUCGAAUUUAAUUCAAAAGAAAAAAAAUAUGGUUAUAUCAACCAUGACGAAUAAAAGGAAAAUGUUCCAAUUACAAUUAUCAUAUUACAAUCGGAUUGGGAGAGUCUUAUAAUAAAUAAUAAUUAAUAUAUAUAAUAAAUAAAGAUUAUAGAUAAGAUAAAUGAUACAAUUUAUCACAUCUGAUUUUCGCUAAAAUCGGAAAUAUAUAAAAUAUAAUAUAAAAUUGUUCAUGUAAACCGAUUGACGAAAUUUAAAAUUAAAAUAAGAUGAGAAGAAAUCGGAACCCUUCUCAAGAAGAGGAUACAGAACAUUAGAAUUAUAUUAUAUUAAAGUAUAUCUUCUUGAAUCCGGCUUUGGAAAAAUUGUAUUUCCGCAACAAGAUGUAAUAGCGGAUUAAAAAACGAUGGGUGCUAUUCCAUAACAAAGAGAUGUGAACUGAUUCAUUUUAAUAGAAAAUAAUAAAAUUUCUUUGAUAUAAAAGGAAUCCCUCGGGUGGAUCGUCGGAGAUGCGUCUUAGACAAGAAAUUUAGUUGCUGAGAUUUGAAAAAAAGAAGAACUGAAGAUAGAAAUUCAGGAGAACGACAAUACAGAACCCAAAUUGUGAACCUAAGGAAAGAACAUAAUAUUUGGAUACUAACGCUUUACUCAGCAUUUUGAUAUCGUUUUUCCUUGAGACGAAGGAAAAAUAUAGAAGUACCAUAAUAGGGAACGAAGUUGCCGCGAAUGAAAUACCUUUUUUUUAGAAAGACGAAUAAUAUUACAAAUAUUGACAACCGAGUAUUAGAAGAUUAUGAAAUGACAACAUCGAUUGUCAUUGAUAUCCAAAAUAUUGAUUUAAUGUGUUUUCC